GACGAACGCUGGCGGCGCGCCUAACACAUGCAAGUCGAGCGGGAAGCUUUUUAAGGAUUCUUCGGAUGAAUUAAAAAGUGGAGAGCGGCGGACGGGUGAGUAACGCGUGAGAAACCUGCCCUAUACAGGGGGAUAGCCAUUGGAAACGAUGAUUAAUGCCUCAUAAGACUACAGUAUCGCAUGAUACAGUAGCCAAAACUCCGGUGGUACAGGAUGGACCCGCGUUAGAUUAGCUAGUUGGUAAGGUAAAGGCUUACCAAGGCGACGAUCUAUAGCCGACCUGAGAGGGUGAUCGGCCACACUGGAACUGAGACACGGUCCAGACUCCUACGGGAGGCAGCAGUGGGGAAUAUUGCACAAUGGGCGAAAGCCUGAUGCAGCAACGCCGCGUGAGCGAAGAAGGUCUUCGGAUCGUAAAGCUCUGUCCUAUGGGAAGAACACAAUGACGGUACCAUAGGAGGAAG
RNAcentral lists this ribosomal RNA (464 nucleotides) under uncultured bacterium. RNAcentral describes it as "bacterial SSU rRNA". It matches the Rfam family "Bacterial small subunit ribosomal RNA", at positions 28 to 490 of the family's 1533-position model. The record is from RNAcentral.